CGGGUACGGAGCAGCGAACGGGUGAGUAACACGUGAACAAACUGUCCCCACAUUUCCGGAUAAUUUGAUCGAAAGGUCUUGUAAUACGGGGGAGGAUUCCGAUGAGGCAUCUUAUUGGAAGGGAAGGCGCAAGCCGUGCGGGGAGGUGUUCGCGGCCUAUCAGUUAGUUGGUGGGGUAACGGCCUACCAAGACGACGACGGGUAGCUGGUCUGAGAGGAUGGUCAGCCACAUUGGAACUGAGAUACUGUCCAGACUCCUACGGGAGGCUGCAGUCGAGAAUCUUGGGCAAUGCACGAAAGUGUGACCCAGCGACGCCGCGUGAAGGAUGAAGGAGCUCUGCUUCGUAAACUUCUUUUAUGAGGAAAGAAAAGCCUUCGGGCCUUGACGGUACCUCAUGAAUAAGCCACGGCUAACUACGUGCCAGCAGCCGCGGUAAUACGUAGGUGGCAAGCGUUGUCCGGAUUUACUGGGCGUAAAGCGAACGCACGCGGAUGGUUAAGUAAGAAGUGAAAGGUUGCAGCUCAACUGCGACACUGCUUCUUAUACUGGCGUCUU
This 556-nucleotide ribosomal RNA is filed under the name uncultured bacterium. RNAcentral's name for it is "bacterial SSU rRNA". It matches the Rfam family "Bacterial small subunit ribosomal RNA", at positions 85 to 643 of the family's 1533-position model. The record is from RNAcentral.